Molecule: ribosomal RNA, 254 nt
Filed under: uncultured bacterium
Lineage: Bacteria
Description: partial 16S ribosomal RNA
Rfam family: Bacterial small subunit ribosomal RNA
Source: RNAcentral
CACGUAGGGGGCGAGCGUUGUCCGGAAUCAUUGGGCGUAAAGAGCUCGUAGGCGGCUCGGUAAGUCGGGUGUGAAACCCCCAGGCUCAACCUGGGGACGCCACCCGAUACUGCUGUGGCUAGAGUCCAGUAGGGGAGUGUGGAAUUCCCGGUGUAGCGGUGAAAUGCGCAGAUAUCGGGAGGAACACCAGCGGCGAAGGCGGCACUCUGGACCGGUAUUGACGCUGAGGCGCGAAAGCCAGGGGAGCAAACGGG